This 253-nucleotide ribosomal RNA is filed under the name uncultured bacterium. Its description in RNAcentral is "partial 16S ribosomal RNA". It matches the Rfam family "Bacterial small subunit ribosomal RNA", at positions 524 to 776 of the family's 1533-position model. The record is from RNAcentral.
UACGGAGGAGGCAAGCGUUAUCCGGAAUUAUUGGGCGUAAAGCGUCCGUAGGUGGUUUAUCAAGUCUGUUGUUAAAGAGUGGGGCUUAACCUCAUAAAGGCAAUGGAAACUGAUGGACUUGAGUGCGGUAGGGGUAGAGGGAAUUCCCAGUGUAGCGGUGAAAUGCGUAGAUAUUGGGAAGAACACCGGUGGCGAAAGCGCUCUACUGGACCUGCACUGACACUGAGGGACGAAAGCUAGGGGAGCGAAAGGG